AUAUCAAUAAGCGGAGGAAAAGAAACCAACAGGGAUUCCCUCAGUAAAGGCGAUUGAACAGGGAAAAGCUCAGACUUAAAAUCUCCCUGAUUUAUCAGGGCGAAUUGUAGUUUUGUGAGUGGAGAAGUUUGAGGUGGAUUUGGUCUAAGUUACCUGGAAAGGUGCGCCCUAGAAGGUGAAAGCCCUGUAAGACUAAAUUCUACACGCCUUAUAACUCCUUUACUCUUAGAGUCGGAUUGCUUGGGAGUGCAGUCCAAAAUGGGUGGUAAAUCCCAUCUAAAGCUAAAUAUUGGUGAGAGACCGAUAGCGCACAAGUA
Molecule: ribosomal RNA, 317 nt
Filed under: uncultured eukaryote
Lineage: Eukaryota
Description: partial large subunit ribosomal RNA
Rfam family: Eukaryotic large subunit ribosomal RNA
Source: RNAcentral